GGACCCCAAACAGAAAUAUAGGUCUAAUUAGCACAAAUUUUUGUUCAAUCAAUAGCGGUCAAUGUCCAGAACCCAAGUGGCUCUCUCUCAUCAAUUUCAAUUCAUAUUUGCAUACCCGAUGUUGAUGUACAAAGUUCCAAAACCCAUAUAGCUUGUGCUCCUGCUGUCGGCAGCCCUCUGUUAAAAUUAUAUGUUUCUAACUAAUGACAAUGUCAUGAGUCUUAUUUUAUUAAAAAUGAAAAGAUGGUUAGGUAGCAUGGUAACGAAUUGGGAGCUUUGAUUUGGUAU
This 288-nucleotide long non-coding RNA is filed under the name Elaeis guineensis (African oil palm). RNAcentral's name for it is "long non-coding RNA (EGUI_LNC010683)". Lineage: Eukaryota; Viridiplantae; Streptophyta; Magnoliopsida; Arecales; Arecaceae. The record is from RNAcentral.